Non-coding RNA from Aedes albopictus (Asian tiger mosquito), 73 nucleotides. The record is from Rfam. Lineage: Eukaryota; Metazoa; Arthropoda; Insecta; Diptera; Culicidae.
UGCACUGUGGCAUAGUUAGUUACAGCACCAGACUAGCGAUAAAGAGUCGUGGGUUCGAAUCCCACCAAAGCAA